This 72-nucleotide transfer RNA is filed under the name Camelus bactrianus (Bactrian camel). It matches the Rfam family "tRNA". Rfam says of the family: Transfer RNA (tRNA) molecules are approximately 80 nucleotides in length. Their secondary structure includes four short double-helical elements and three loops (D, anti-codon, and T loops). Further hydrogen bonds mediate the characteristic L-shaped molecular structure. tRNAs have two regions of fundamental functional importance: the anti-codon, which is responsible for specific mRNA codon recognition, and the 3' end, to which the tRNAs corresponding amino acid is attached (by aminoacyl-tRNA synthetases). tRNAs cope with the degeneracy of the genetic code in two manners: having more than one tRNA (with a specific anti-codon) for a particular amino acid; and 'wobble' base-pairing, i.e. permitting non-standard base-pairing at the 3rd anti-codon position. Lineage: Eukaryota; Metazoa; Chordata; Mammalia; Artiodactyla; Camelidae. RNAcentral also lists the same sequence under 3 other names. The record is from Rfam by way of RNAcentral.
AAGGGUAUAGCUCAAUGAUAGAGCAUAUGCUUAGCAUGCAUAAGGUUCUGGGUUCAAUCCCUAGUGCCUCCU